RNAcentral lists this unclassified non-coding RNA (22 nucleotides) under Mus musculus (house mouse). RNAcentral describes it as "oocyte_clustered_small_RNA8976". Lineage: Eukaryota; Metazoa; Chordata; Mammalia; Rodentia; Muridae. The record is from RNAcentral.
GAUCGUUCUCUCGUCAAUUGUG